This 988-nucleotide long non-coding RNA is filed under the name Olea europaea subsp. europaea. The record is from RNAcentral. Lineage: Eukaryota; Viridiplantae; Streptophyta; Magnoliopsida; Lamiales; Oleaceae.
UUUUAAUGAAGAAAUAAUGGCUCAAAUAAGACCUUAUAUUUUAUAAAAUAUAUUUUCGUCUCAUGUGAAUGUGAAUUUCAUUUUCCCAAUUUCAAUUUUAUUAUACAUUGUGUAAAAUAUUCUUUAGCCUUCUUAACGUGUAUGGGUGAGGUUUCUCCACUAUCACAUGUACGUGGUGCGAUGAAAAACACAUUUAAAAAUAUUUUUCGUCUUGUACGAAUUAUAUUUUUCCUAACUAUAAUGUUUGAUCCCGUCUCAAAUUGUAUGGGUACGAAGAUUGCUUUCACUUGUAUGAAAAUAAAAUAGAUUAUUCGUCCAAAACAAAUAUAUUAUUGCUACGAAAAAGAAUUAUAAAUUGUGCAAUUUGUACUCAAAUUCGAAUUACAUAGAUUUAAAUUUUUAAGAUUCCGAAAUGUAUAAAAGCAAUAUGCUUGCAUUCCAUUCUGCAUACACCGAGCACACCGUAUGACUUCGCUCCCAGUUUUGUCCACAGUUCGUCUUCUUUCUCGGCUCCCUUCGUUCACACAUUUUCACAUCUAUUUUGGGUUGUCGGGUUUAACCAUGGAAUGGCAUAAAUAUAUUUCUAAUUUGGUAACCAAAUCUCGCCUAGGCCUAGCACCAAAUCGGAAAAGUACGUAAUAUGAUGGACAAGGGGAAAGGAAAAGUUGCUGAUGAACCAUCUAACUAGUGCGUUUGCAUUGAUGACAGUGUGUGAUUCAUCAUCUCCACAAUAUAGAGCGCAAGAAUCAGUGCAACACCACCGUCGCCAAGUUUCUAAAUCCCUCUUUUAUGUUCUUCAGUCUAUUUUGAUCUUUAUAUGCAUAUAUUGAAGGCAAUAUAUGAUUAGGUUUAGGGUAAAAAUAUCGAGAUGUUCUCCUAUUUGUUUCUUAGUAUAAUUUAACAUGUUUGUGUGAUUUGAAAUUGUUUUAUGUUAACAAUUUUAUAGCUUUCAGAUAUAUUUACAAAGAAAAAAAAAAAAAAGGAAAUU